Molecule: long non-coding RNA, 1885 nt
Organism: Panicum virgatum (switchgrass)
Lineage: Eukaryota; Viridiplantae; Streptophyta; Magnoliopsida; Poales; Poaceae
Exons: 2
Source: RefSeq, a predicted model, not a curated record
GACCGCGCUCCCCUUCGCGUGGUUUUUUUUUCACCGUGGGGAAUUCUACCUGCCCACGCGUACCCACCCAACCCCGCCCGUCUAUCACGCCGCCGCCCCAUCGCGACGCGCCUCCCCGACGAGGCGAUGACGCCGCCUCCCAUCGACGCCCCCUCCUCCCUCGCAACACCGCCUCCCCCCGACGCCCUCCGCCCCAACUCGCAUCCCUUGCCAGAUCUGCAUCGCCGCGGUGUUGCCCGGCCGGCGUGCGCUGCGCGUAGCUGCCCUCAGGGCCGGCGGUCCGGUGGCCGUGCGUUGCGGCCGGCUGAUCCGGCGUCCGCGCCCGGCGUGCGGCCCUGCCGCCGUUCGCUUCCCUCAGAGGCGGCGGACCUUAGGGCCGCGCGCCGUGGGGGAAGGGCGCGUCCGCCGUCCAGCGCUCCAGGGCGGGCCGCGUGCGGCGCUGCAGGGCGGCCGGCUUGCCGUGCGCCCUCCGCGCAGGACUGGGCUCGGCGAGCAGAUCCAGCAGCGUGCGGCGGCGGCGGGGCGGGCCCGCGGCAAGCAGCACGAGCAGCGCGGCGGCGACUCUGGGGCGCGGCGAGUGGCGCCCGCAGUCAGCGGCGGUGGCUCGGGUCCGCACCGAGCAGAGGUUAGUGACCUGCUUACCGGCCGGGAGCUCUCGAGGUAGGGCAGGAAGCGGCAGGCGGCAGCAUGGCGGAAUAUCCCAGGGGUGCGCGGUGGCUUUGACCGCUCCGCCUGAUGAGCACAGCCGCGGCAGGCCGGAUCCAUGGGAACCAUCGCCGACAGCCUACGAUCUGCUCCCAUGGCCACAGUUUAUCCAUGGUAUGUAUCAUGUCGAACUCUGGAGAAAAUUCUGCCAGUUCACGGACGGGUGGGGCAUCCUCUUGUGAUAUAUGUGCAUCUAUCAUCUGGAGUUGAAGGUAUGUAUCUGAUUUUUGUGUGGGAUUUGCUGGUACACAUGAUAAUUUGUCAAUUCGUUUCUCCAUUCUAAGCACAGGUUCUAAUGGGACGACAAUGGUUGGGGCCAUCAUCUUCUGAUCUAUCUAGCUUAUCAAGAAAUAUGUAUCAAACCUUCUCUUAGUUUUGGCCACCGAUCAUAUUGUGCAGAUUUACUUUGUUGUUUUGAUCUGUAUUACUAUGGUGGGAAAAGGUGCCAUUUUUGGGGAUUGGAAUUCAAUGUGGUCUAUGUAUUAUUUUAACAGAUAUGUAAUUGCUUGCAAAUAGAAAUGAAAGGUUGAAUGCUUAAUUUUUUGGUUAGGGUUUCAUUUUAGUGCACAAAUUUCAUCUUCCCUAAACAUUUUCUGAAUGAAAGAACACGUUAGUUGAUAUGUUUAACAAUAAUAAUUGUUGCCCAUUGCCAUUAUAAGAAUGCUACAAUAUUACCAUUGGUCCAUUGAUUUUAUAAUAAUGCUACGAACAUUUAUUAGAAUCAUUUGAUGUGGCAGGCAGGUAGCAGCGGCGCACCCAGGCCACCGAUGGCCCCAAAACCAAGCAACAUUUGAUGACGACCACAAGCUUAGCCACUGCACCGUCAGCAGUCCACCGGUCAAUCAUCCCCGUUCUCAGAAUCCUCUUCCUCCGCUCCAUACCUAAAGGUUCCGAAGACUUCCUAACUCAUAACAAGUGGAGUUAUGGCAGCCAUUGAAUCAACUAUGAUGCAAUUCUAUUUUUUUUAAUAUUUCUUGCUUCUGAAAUAAAACAUGUACUCAAUAUAGGAAUAUUUUACUGCUGCCGCUUGCCUGCAUCAAUCAGAGAGCAGGUGGAGAAAGGGAGGAAGAUAUCAUUGCUGUAUUUCAUUUGUUUACAUGAUGUUACUUACAAAGCUUCAGGGCGUUGCUUAAUUUCAUCAUCUGACAUUUAUUCAAUUCAUUGCGAAAUUUCUGUCUAA